GAAAAUAAGGAGCUUGUGAUGGAAAGAAUGAGCUUGGACACUUUUGGGGGGUUUUCUCUUCAAAUAUGUGUUGUUGGUUCAUUUUUCUCUUUAGAUUUGUGUUGUUGAGGAUGUUUUAUGUUACAAAUUGAAGUUCAAGGACUGUGUUGAUAUAACACCUUAAGUUGAAGGAUAAUGUGCGAAAUUACCCAAAUGACGGCGAUGUCGAAACUCCAAUGUGCCGUGAGGCUUGAGGAGGAGCAAGAAGAAUUGGAGGAUGGUAGUGUCAAUGGAUUUUGAGACUUAGAUUUUGGAAUCAAUUGAAGAAGAUUAAGGAUUGAAUGUUGAAACAAAUAUUAGAACGAGAAAGGAGGGUGUUAGUUUGCGGGCAUUGGGUCGUGGCAUGAUA
Molecule: unclassified non-coding RNA, 388 nt
Filed under: Hevea brasiliensis (rubber tree)
Lineage: Eukaryota; Viridiplantae; Streptophyta; Magnoliopsida; Malpighiales; Euphorbiaceae
Source: RNAcentral